UUUGAUGGUGGCUCAGAUUGAACGCUGGCGGCAGGCCUAACACAUGCAAGUCGAGCGGUAACAGAAAUUAGCUUGCUAAUUUGCUGACGAGCGGCGGACGGGUGAGUAAUGCCUGGGAAUAUACCCUGAUGUGGGGGAUAACUAUUGGAAACGAUAGCUAAUACCGCAUAAUCUCUUCGGAGCAAAGAGGGGGACCUUCGGGCCUCUCGCGUCAGGAUUAGCCCAGGUGGGAUUAGCUAGUUGGUGGGGUAAUGGCUCACCAAGGCGACGAUCCCUAGCUGGUCUGAGAGGAUGAUCAGCCACACUGGAACUGAGACACGGUCCAGACUCCUACGGGAGGCAGCAGUGGGGAAUAUUGCACAAUGGGGGAAACCCUGAUGCAGCCAUGCCGCGUGUAUGAAGAAGGCCUUCGGGUUGUAAAGUACUUUCAGUUGUGAGGAAGGCGUUGGAGUU
Molecule: ribosomal RNA, 453 nt
Filed under: Photobacterium sp. CS18
Lineage: Bacteria; Pseudomonadati; Pseudomonadota; Gammaproteobacteria; Vibrionales; Vibrionaceae
Description: bacterial SSU rRNA
Rfam family: Bacterial small subunit ribosomal RNA
Source: RNAcentral